Long non-coding RNA from Lathyrus oleraceus (garden pea), 678 nucleotides. RefSeq lists it as uncharacterized. The record is from RefSeq and is a predicted model, not a curated record. The transcript is spliced from 4 exons. Lineage: Eukaryota; Viridiplantae; Streptophyta; Magnoliopsida; Fabales; Fabaceae.
GUUGCUUAGCUCUUAAAUUGUUCAUGCUGCAGACAGGAGGUAAUAUCCUUAGAUAAUGAGAUUUCCUUCAAUGAGGCUAUCAUCGAGGAAAGAGAACAAGGUAUUCAAGAAGUCCAGCAGCAGAUUGGGGAAGUAAAUGAGAUCUUCAAAGAUCUUGCCGUGCUUGUUCAUGAGCAAGGAGCAAUGAUUGAUGAUAUUGGAUCCAACAUUGAGCAUUCCCAUGAAGCCACUGCCCAAGCAAAAUCAGAACUUGUGAAAGCUUCUAAGACACAACGAUCAAGUUCAUCUUUGGCUAUCAAAACUCUCCGGCGGUGUUGCUGUUUUCAAAGUUUGUCAUUCAUUCUUAAAAACCGGCGGUAUUGCUGUUUACAAUAGCUGCAAAUGCUGGUUUUGAUGGUUCUUUAAUUUACAGCAAAUUGUUGGAACAAGAUAAUCUUAAUUUGGGUUUCGAUGCUGCUAAAGGAACUUAUGUUGAUAUGGUGAAGGCUGGGAUUAUAGAUCCUGUUAAAGUUGUUAGAACAGCUUUGGUAGAUGCUGCCAGUGUAUCGUUGUUACUGACGACAACCGAGGCAUCUAUUGUAGAAAAUAUGAGUGAUAAAAACAAACCUCCUCAAAGGGUGGCAGAUAUGGAUGAUUUGGACUACUAACUUUUCUUAAAUAUGUUGAGAAUAUUUUGGC